Molecule: small RNA, 21 nt
Filed under: Arabidopsis thaliana (thale cress)
Lineage: Eukaryota; Viridiplantae; Streptophyta; Magnoliopsida; Brassicales; Brassicaceae
Description: ATSL234730
Source: RNAcentral
AACCAAAGAAGAAGAAAAAAU